This 1033-nucleotide long non-coding RNA is filed under the name Homo sapiens (human). RNAcentral describes it as "novel transcript, sense intronic to ANXA4". Lineage: Eukaryota; Metazoa; Chordata; Mammalia; Primates; Hominidae. The record is from RNAcentral.
UUUUUUUUUUUUUUUUUUUUUUUUUUUUUGCUAAAUAUAGCACACUUACAUAAGAGCAGAGCCAAAGGUCAUCACAAUAUAAGGGAAGGAUCUGACAAUAAAGAUAGAAUCCAAAACACGCUAACAGAGAAAAUGAAAUGAGGAAGAAAAAGACUAUGGGGAGAAGAAAACUUUGAGAAAUCUACUAUUGAGCUUCUCUGAGAAAGAUCAGAAAUGCUGGGCAUGGUGACACAAGACUGUAGUCCCUGCUUCUCCACAGGCUAAGGUAGGAGGAUUGCUUGAGCCCAGUUUGAGGUUGUAGUGUGCUAUUAUCAUGCCUGUGAACAGCCACUGCACUCUAGCCUGGGUGACAUAGAGAGACCCUGUGUCAAUAAAAAAAGAAUACUCUAAAAAAUGAACACUCAGAGAACCAAAUGGAGUUCUUUUAAAUUAAAAAUCUGAUAGCAAAAAUGAAAAACUCAGUAGAAUGUUAAGAAGAUAAAGUUAGAAAUUAUCCUAGAAUGCAUAGGCAAAAGGCAAAGAGAAGGGAAAGAAAUAAGAAAGGUUAAGAUUAGAAAGCCAGCCCUGGACAUCUGGGAAACAGGGGAAGAAAUGAAUUAAAUAAUUCAAUUAUAUAUUUUGAGAACUAAAGAGCAUGAAUUUCCACAUUGAAAGUGCUGAGUACAGUGCAAUGGACAAAACCAGAACCACACCAGGGCACGUUGUGAUAUGGAAGACUGAGGACAUAGAGAAGAUCUUACAAGUGCCUAGGAGGAAAUGAAGUUUCACUUAAAGAAUCCAGAAUGAGAAUGGCAUCUGAUUUCUCAGUAGCAACACAUGAAACUGAAAGACAAUGGAAUAAUGUCUUUAAAAUCUGAGGGAAAAUAACUUCCAACAUAGAUUCUCAUACCCAUCCAAAUGUAGUAGUAAAGCGUGGGGGUAAAUGUAUUUCAGACACGUACAAUUUCAAAAUAUUUAUCUUCCAUGUACCUUUUUUCAAGAAGCUUUCAGAAGGUGAAAGCUUUUCCACCAAAAUAAGGACAUAAAUCAAGAA